GGUUAAGCGACUAAGCGUACACGGUGGAUGCCCUGGCAGUCAGAGGCGAUGAAGGACGUGCUAAUCUGCGAUAAGCGUCGGUAAGGUGAUAUGAACCGUUAUAACCGGCGAUUUCCGAAUGGGGAAACCCAGUGUGUUUCGACACACUAUCAUUAACUGAAUCCAUAGGUUAAUGAGGCGAACCGGGGGAACUGAAACAUCUAAGUACCCCGAGGAAAAGAAAUCAACCGAGAUUCCCCCAGUAGCGGCGAGCGAACGGGGAGGAGCCCAGAGCCUGAAUCAGUGUGUGUGUUAGUGGAAGCGUCUGGAAAGGCGCGCGAUACAGGGUGACAGCCCCGUACACAAAAAUGCACAUGCUGUGAGCUCGAUGAGUAGGGCGGGACACGUGGUAUCCUGUCUGAAUAUGGGGGGACCAUCCUCCAAGGCUAAAUACUCCUGACUGACCGAUAGUGAACCAGUACCGUGAGGGAAAGGCGAAAAGAACCCCGGCGAGGGGAGUGAAAAAGAACCUGAAACCGUGUACGUACAAGCAGUGGGAGCCUCUUUUAUGGGGUGACUGCGUACCUUUUGUAUAAUGGGUCAGCGACUUAUAUUCUGUAGCAAGGUUAACCGAAUAGGGGAGCCGAAGGGAAACCGAGUCUUAACCGGGCGUUAAGUUGCAGGGUAUAGACCCGAAACCCGGUGAUCUAGCCAUGGGCAGGUUGAAGGUUGGGUAACACUAACUGGAGGACCGAACCGACUAAUGUUGAAAAAUUAGCGGAUGACUUGUGGCUGGGGGUGAAAGGCCAAUCAAACCGGGAGAUAGCUGGUUCUCCCCGAAAGCUAUUUAGGUAGCGCCUCGUGAAUUCAUCUCCGGGGGUAGAGCACUGUUUCGGCAAGGGGGUCAUCCCGACUUACCAACCCGAUGCAAACUGCGAAUACCGGAGAAUGUUAUCACGGGAGACACACGGCGGGUGCUAACGUCCGUCGUGAAGAGGGAAACAACCCAGACCGCCAGCUAAGGUCCCAAAGUCAUGGUUAAGUGGGAAACGAUGUGGGAAGGCCCAGACAGCCAGGAUGUUGGCUUAGAAGCAGCCAUCAUUUAAAGAAAGCGUAAUAGCUCACUGGUCGAGUCGGCCUGCGCGGAAGAUGUAACGGGGCUAAACCAUGCACCGAAGCUGCGGCAGCGACACUGUGUGUUGUUGGGUAGGGGAGCGUUCUGUAAGCCUGUGAAGGUGUACUGUGAGGUAUGCUGGAGGUAUCAGAAGUGCGAAUGCUGACAUAAGUAACGAUAAAGCGGGUGAAAAGCCCGCUCGCCGGAAGACCAAGGGUUCCUGUCCAACGUUAAUCGGGGCAGGGUGAGUCGACCCCUAAGGCGAGGCCGAAAGGCGUAGUCGAUGGGAAACAGGUUAAUAUUCCUGUACUUGGUGUUACUGCGAAGGGGGGGACGGAGAAGGCUAUGUUGGCCGGGCGACGGUUGUCCCGGUUUAAGCGUGUAGGCUGGUUUUCCGGUGCAAAUCCGGAAAAUCAAGGCUGAGGCGUGAUGACGAGGCACUACGGUGCUGAAGCAACAAAUGCCCUGCUUCCGGUGAAAAGCCUCUAAGCAUCAGGUAACAUCAAAUCGUACCCCAAACCGACACAGGUGGUCAGGUAGAGAAUACCAAGGCGCUUGAGAGAACUCGGGUGAAGGAACUAGGCAAAAUGGUGCCGUAACUUCGGGAGAAGGCACGCUGAUAUGUAGGUGAAGUCCCUCGCGGAUGGAGCUGAAAUCAGUCGAAGAUACCAGCUGGCUGCAACUGUUUAUUAAAAACACAGCACUGUGCAAACACGAAAGUGGACGUAUACGGUGUGACGCCUGCCCGGUGCCGGAAGGUUAAUUGAUGGGGUCAGCGCAAGCGAAGCUCUUGAUCGAAGCCCCGGUAAACGGCGGCCGUAACUAUAACGGUCCUAAGGUAGCGAAAUUCCUUGUCGGGUAAGUUCCGACCUGCACGAAUGGCGUAAUGAUGGCCGGGCUGUCUCCACCCGAGACUCAGUGAAAUUGAACUCGCUGUGAAGAUGCAGUGUACCCGCGGCAAGACGGAAAGACCCCGUGAACCUUUACUAUAGCUUGACACUGAACAUUGAGCCUUGAUGUGUAGGAUAGGUGGGAGGCUUUGAAGUGUGGACGCCAGUCUGCAUGGAGCCGACCUUGAAAUACCACCCUUUAAUGUUUGAUGUUCUAACGUGGACCCGUGAUCCGGGUUGCGGACAGUGUCUGGUGGGUAGUUUGACUGGGGCGGUCUCCUCCUAAAGAGUAACGGAGGAGCACGAAGGUUGGCUAAUCCCCGGUCGGACAUCAGGAGGUUAGUGCAAUGGCAUAAGCCAGCUUGACUGCGAGCGUGACGGCGCGAGCAGGUGCGAAAGCAGGUCAUAGUGAUCCGGUGGUUCUGAAUGGAAGGGCCAUCGCUCAACGGAUAAAAGGUACUCCGGGGAUAACAGGCUGAUACCGCCCAAGAGUUCAUAUCGACGGCGGUGUUUGGCACCUCGAUGUCGGCUCAUCACAUCCUGGGGCUGAAGUAGGUCCCAAGGGUAUGGCUGUUCGCCAUUUAAAGUGGUACGCGAGCUGGGUUUAGAACGUCGUGAGACAGUUCGGUCCCUAUCUGCCGUGGGCGCUGGAGAACUGAGGGGGGCUGCUCCUAGUACGAGAGGACCGGAGUGGACGCAUCACUGGUGUUCGGGUUGUCAUGCCAAUGGCACUGCCCGGUAGCUAAAUGCGGAAGAGAUAAGUGCUGAAAGCAUCUAAGCACGAAACUUGCCCCGAGAUGAGUUCUCCCUGACCCUUUAAGGGUCCUGAAGGAACGUUGAAGACGACGACGUUGAUAGGCCGGGUGUGUAAGCGCAGCGAUGCGUUGAGCUAACCGGUACUAAUGAACCGUGAGGCUUAACCUU
RNAcentral lists this ribosomal RNA (2907 nucleotides) under Escherichia coli. RNAcentral describes it as "23S ribosomal RNA". It matches the Rfam family "Bacterial large subunit ribosomal RNA". Lineage: Bacteria; Pseudomonadati; Pseudomonadota; Gammaproteobacteria; Enterobacterales; Enterobacteriaceae. The record is from RNAcentral.